RNAcentral lists this transfer RNA (64 nucleotides) under Physopelta quadriguttata. Its description in RNAcentral is "tRNA-Cys". It matches the Rfam family "tRNA". From Rfam's summary of the family: Transfer RNA (tRNA) molecules are approximately 80 nucleotides in length. Their secondary structure includes four short double-helical elements and three loops (D, anti-codon, and T loops). Further hydrogen bonds mediate the characteristic L-shaped molecular structure. tRNAs have two regions of fundamental functional importance: the anti-codon, which is responsible for specific mRNA codon recognition, and the 3' end, to which the tRNAs corresponding amino acid is attached (by aminoacyl-tRNA synthetases). tRNAs cope with the degeneracy of the genetic code in two manners: having more than one tRNA (with a specific anti-codon) for a particular amino acid; and 'wobble' base-pairing, i.e. permitting non-standard base-pairing at the 3rd anti-codon position. Lineage: Eukaryota; Metazoa; Arthropoda; Insecta; Hemiptera; Largidae. The record is from RNAcentral.
AGCUUUAUAGUCAAUAAUUAUGAUAUCAGAUUGCAAAUCUGAAGUAACAUUUAUGUUAAAGCUU